RNAcentral lists this ribosomal RNA (510 nucleotides) under uncultured soil bacterium. RNAcentral describes it as "bacterial SSU rRNA". It matches the Rfam family "Bacterial small subunit ribosomal RNA", at positions 8 to 494 of the family's 1533-position model. The record is from RNAcentral.
AGAGUUUGAUCCUGGCUCAGAACGAACGCUGGCGGCGUGGAUAAGACAUGCAAGUCGAGCGCUGAUUUCAGGGUAGCAAUAUUCUGAAGUUGGAGCGGCGCAAGGGUGCGUAACACGUGGGUAAUCCGCCGUGAAGGCUGGAAUAACUUGCUGAAAGGCGAGCUAAUACCGGAUGUGAAAAUCGGGAGGCAUCUUUUGAUUUUCAAAGUUGGGGACCGUAAGGCCUGACGCUUCACGAUGAACCCGCGGCCUAUCAGCUAGUUGGUGAGGUAACGGCUCACCAAGGCUAAGACGGGUAGCUGGUCUGAGAGGACGACCAGCCACACUGGAACUGAGACACGGUCCAGACACCUACGGGUGGCAGCAGUCGAGAAUUUUUCACAAUGGGCGAAAGCCUGAUGGAGCGACGCCGCGUGGGGGAUGAAUGGCUUCGGCCCGUAAACCCCUGUCAUUCGCGAACAAUGCCUGCGUGUUAACACCACGCAGGUGAUAGUAGCGAAGAGAAGACCA